RNAcentral lists this ribosomal RNA (634 nucleotides) under Pratylenchus thornei. RNAcentral's name for it is "SSU rRNA". It matches the Rfam family "Eukaryotic small subunit ribosomal RNA", at positions 1005 to 1664 of the family's 1831-position model. The record is from RNAcentral. Lineage: Eukaryota; Metazoa; Nematoda; Chromadorea; Rhabditida; Pratylenchidae.
CGAUCAGAUACCGCCCUAGUUCUGACCGUAAACGAUGCCAACUAGCGAUCUGCCGAUGGAACACCAUUGCCAUGGUAGGGAGCUUCCCGGAAACGAAAGUCUUCCGGUUCCGGGGGAAGUAUGGUUGCAAAGCUGAAACUUAAAGGAAUUGACGGAAGGGCACCACCAGGAGUGGAGCCUGCGGCUUAAUUUGACUCAACACGGGGAAACUCACCCGGCCCGGACACCGUAAGGAUUGACAGAUUGAUAGCUUUUUCAUGAUUCGGUGGAUGGUGGUGCAUGGCCGUUCUUAGUUCGUGGAGCGAUUUGUCUGGUUUAUUCCGAUAACGAGCGAGACUCUGGCCUACUAAAUAGUCCGCACAUUGCCUCUGUGCGCAGGACUUCUUAGAGGGAUUUUCGGUGUUCAGCCGCACGAAAUUGAGCAAUAACAGGUCUGUGAUGCCCUUAGAUGUCCGGGGCUGCACGCGCGCUACACUGGCAAAAUCAGCGUGCUUGUCCUUCCCCGAAAGGGGUUGGUAAACCCUUGAAAAUUUGCCGUGAUUGGGAUCGGAAAUUGCAAUUAUUUUCCGUGAACGAGGAAUUCCAAGUAAGUGCGAGUCAUCAACUCGCGUUGAUUACGUCCCUCCCCUUUGUA